Small nuclear RNA from Frieseomelitta varia, 165 nucleotides. RefSeq annotates it as U1 spliceosomal RNA. The transcript has a single exon. The record is from RefSeq and is a predicted model, not a curated record. Lineage: Eukaryota; Metazoa; Arthropoda; Insecta; Hymenoptera; Apidae.
AUACUUACCUGACGUAGAGGUUACCGUGAUCAAGAAAGCGGUACCUCCAGAGAGAGGCUUUCACCAUUGCACUAAGGUGUUUGCUGACUUCUGCGAACGCCCCUAAAGUGGGUGUCUCGAACGUAUAAUUUUUGAUAUCUGGGACUGCGUUCGCGCUCUCCCGGG